Molecule: ribosomal RNA, 520 nt
Filed under: Lolosia transversalis
Lineage: Eukaryota; Metazoa; Arthropoda; Insecta; Coleoptera; Elateridae
Description: partial large subunit ribosomal RNA
Rfam family: Bacterial large subunit ribosomal RNA (bases 383-520)
Source: RNAcentral
CAUGUCCUUAAGAUUAUGAUUUAAGGUCUGGUCUGCUCAAUGAUUAAUUAAAUUGCCGCAGUAUAUUGACUGUGCGAAGGUAGCAUAGUAAUUAGUUUUUUUAUUGAAAUCUAGAAUGAAUGAUUUAACAUGGGAUUUACUGUCUCCUUAAAAUUUUUUUUUGAAAUUAACUUUUUAGUAAAAAGGCUAAAAUUUUCUUUUUAGACGAGAAGACCCUAUAGAGUUUUACAUUUUUAUAAAAGAUUUUUUUAGUAUAAAUUUAUUUUUUAGUGUUAAUGUUUAAUUGGGGUAGUUGGAAAGUUAAAUUAAUUUUUCUAAGUUUAAAUUAUUUAUUGAUAAUUUUAUUUUUUAUUUUUAUAAGAUUAAAUUAAAUUACCUUAGGGAUAACAGCAUAAUCUUCUUUUAGAGUUCUUAUCGUAAGGAAGGUUUGUGACCUCGAUGUUGGAUUAAAAUUUAUUUUGGGUGCAAUGGCCUAUUCAAUUAAGUCUGUUCGACUUUUAAAAUUUUACAUGAUCUGAGU